AACGCACAUUGCGCCCUCCGGUAUUCCGGGGGGCAUGCCUGUUCGAGCGUCAUUAUAACCACUCAAGCUCUCGCUUGGUAUUGGGGUUCGCGGUUUCGCGGCCCCUAAAAUCAGUGGCGGUGCCUGUCGGCUCUACGCGUAGUAAUACUCCUCGCGAUUGAGUCCGGUAGGUUUACUUGCCAGCAACCCCUAAUUUUUUUAAGGUUGACCUCGGAUCAGGUAGGGAUACCCGCUGAACUUAA
This 242-nucleotide unclassified non-coding RNA is filed under the name uncultured Helotiales. RNAcentral's name for it is "sequence contains ITS2". The stretch from base 1 to 52 matches the Rfam family "5.8S ribosomal RNA", at positions 103 to 154 of the family's 154-position model. The record is from RNAcentral. Lineage: Eukaryota; Fungi; Ascomycota; Leotiomycetes; Helotiales.